ACGAGCCAUGCCAUGAGAAAACCAACAUAGUGGCUUUGCGACCAGCUUAUGUGCAGUCUGGUCAGGAUCCAUGCUGUUCGCUAACGGUUUCUCUAAUUGCAAUAGGCUUUGAAAGCGAACAGUAUGGAUCCUGACCAGACUGCACAGAUGCGCAGGCUGGUCUGGAUCCAUGCUGGUUACAAAUGCACUAUGUUGGUUUUCUCGUGGCGUGGCUCAUAUUAUUAUUUCGUUACACUUUCACAAUACUUUAAUAGAUAAGUAUAAAUUUCUUUUUCAGUGAACAAGUUAUUGUGAGAUAGUCUGAUUACUUUGGAGCUGCCAGAUUGUGUAUCAGGGGUUCCACUUGACCCAAAAACCCAAGAGUCCCAGGACCCUUGGGCCCAAAUUUUGAAAGGUCCUUUUCCAAAAUACAGGAGUCCUGUCCCAACACGUCAAUAUAAUUUACUAUAUUUUUUUAUUCAGUAAUACGUAGAUCUUUACCAUAAGAAUACAAUAAACCCAAGAUCAUGUUACAGCAUAAUAAAAAUGUCAGUCUCAGGUCAUAUAGUCUCAUAUUGUAAACUAAUAUUUAUCAAAAUUCAUGUUAUUUUAAUUAGGUUUUUCUUAAAUAUUUCAUUUCAUUUUUAAUAACAGAACAGUGCUAUAACACUCUAGAAAAAUGUAUCCAAAAUGUACUAUCCGAAUACUGUUACACUUUCAGAAUGUCAUCGGAAAGUAGUUUUUGCUCAGUUUAUUUGGCAAACUAAGCUAAAUCAGCGAUAGUUCCUCAAAUAAUGAUGCUACUUAUCAUAAAAAACUGCAUUGAAAGUCGGGUUUUUUUUUUAGGAAUUUUGGAAAUAUGCUUGAUUUGACAUCGGGUGUAAUAAGACCCGUGGACGGACAUUCUAAACUUAUUUUUGCUUUCGAAAUUCAUCAAAAUUUGAGAAGUUUCUUGUUGAAAUUACGAGAUGAUCUAAUUGAAAGUGGGCAUGAAAAAAUCUUGCAGGGCACUUUUCACGUGCUCGGUAAUCAGCUGCUUACGAUAAUUUAAUAAUUGGCGCCUUUUUUGACAGUACACAGGAUUCGCUUUAUCAAUUAAUUUCAACACUUCAUUGAUUUCUUGUUACCUAUGUGCACUCGUCGUGACGUAACUUGCUGAUAAAAAAUCAGCGAGGCAUGUCUACAGGAGAAAGGGCGGGAUUUAGCAGAGAUCAAAGGCAGGAGAGCAUGACCGCGAGUGUUUUUUUGAAUACACGUGUCUAUCGUGGAAAUAGUUUUACCGAAGGAAAUUAAUGAUAAGAGAAAGGAUUAUCAAAGGAAAAUGCCCCCGGGUCCCGAAGGACGCACAGGCAAGUAUUCUGCCGGGUCCUUUGAGCGUCUUUUGAAAAUCUCCCGGGUCCGGACCCGGGGUCCCGGGUCAAAUGGAACCCCUGCUGUAUGAAAUCCAGAACAAAGUAUUUCAACAACUUUUUCAUGAACAACAGAAACUUCACCUUACCAAAUUGUAGGACCAGACAUUGUGAGAAAGUUUGAUUGCAUUCACUGCCAGAGCUAAAGCUAGAAAAGAAACUAAACAACUUCUUCUCAUGAUCUGCUUAAUUGAUCUUCACAUUGAAUUGUCAACCUGUAUGCUACAUUGUAUAAUGACGUUGAGCAAAUAAAGAUACUGCAGUCAGCGUUACAACCUUCAUUAAACAGAAUGAAUUGGUGUUACAGAAAUGGAUAACAUAUGGAGACAAACACUUUCAGGCUACAGAAACUACACUAUGAGACUAUGAGAAUGGCUUAUUUUCAUGAUGGAACUCAUACCACAAAGAAAGAACUUGCUGUAUCUUGUUUCUUAUAACUAGUCCUCAAAGACAUACCCAAGUAAACUACAACAGGAAUGAAAGCAAACAAAGUUGAUUCAGGAUUUAGAAUUGAAUGUUUUUGUGUCAACAGUGUGUGAAAACUGCGGAAAAUAGGAUUUUAAUUUCAAGGAUUUGAUUUAGUAUGUCAAGGAGUGAUUUAUUUUUAAUUCAUCACACAAAUUAUUGACAAUGCUCUAAAAUAUAAAUAGGAUGUGUAAAUACAGACUUUCAUACCUAACUAAAAUAAUGUUGAACUCAACAGAAUAAACAAACUACCAUCUGUUGUAUAAUAUAUUAGUUGAUUUAUCAAACUUUGUCAGUUUUGUUACAUUACUUAUCAUUGAUAGAAUCUAUUAUCUAAUAACUCUUUACAGUGUGUCAAGUACUCAUCAUUAAAAGCUAUUUUAAAAUAA
This is a long non-coding RNA of Mercenaria mercenaria, 2242 nucleotides long. RefSeq lists it as uncharacterized. Lineage: Eukaryota; Metazoa; Mollusca; Bivalvia; Venerida; Veneridae. The record is from RefSeq and is a predicted model, not a curated record. The transcript is spliced from 4 exons.